Molecule: non-coding RNA, 41 nt
Filed under: Schistosoma margrebowiei
Lineage: Eukaryota; Metazoa; Platyhelminthes; Trematoda; Strigeidida; Schistosomatidae
Source: RNAcentral
AUCCAGCUGACGAGUCUCAAAUAGGACGAAGUGACAUGUAU